AUGAUUUGGAAGCAGUGUUAAUGGCUGUCACCUGCUAUACUUCAGACUGUCAAUAAAGACAAAUUAACCACUAAGUUCUGUUGGUUAAAAGACGGGAAGACCUUCCUAUCACAGCUUGUCAGGGCACUCAAGCUGCUAGAGGGCUUGCUGCUGAGAAAUGGAAAGCAUUUCCCUGCUCAGAGGAUCGGAGUACAGUUGCUUACAGCUCCUGAUAUGGAAAUCACCAAUUUCACAACUGCUACAACAUGGUUGGCUCACGUCUUAUGUCACAGAGAGUACUUUUAUCUAGAUUCAUACAUCUGGCAUUUUAAGUCUUAUGGAUGACAUAAUCAACAUUCAGAGACGUUUCUUUCUACAUUAAGGUAAUGUCAGGG
Molecule: long non-coding RNA, 374 nt
Organism: Gallus gallus (chicken)
Lineage: Eukaryota; Metazoa; Chordata; Aves; Galliformes; Phasianidae
Source: Ensembl